This 472-nucleotide ribosomal RNA is filed under the name uncultured bacterium. RNAcentral's name for it is "partial 16S ribosomal RNA". It matches the Rfam family "Bacterial small subunit ribosomal RNA", at positions 28 to 523 of the family's 1533-position model. The record is from RNAcentral.
GACGAACGCUGGCGGCGUGCUUAACACAUGCAAGUCGAACGGGAGUAUCGAAGAAGCUUGCUUUUAAGAUACUUUAGUGGCGGACGGGUGAGUAACGCGUGAGGAGCUGUCCUAUGCAGGGGGACAACAGUUGGAAACGACUGCUAAUACCCCAUAAGCCGAGAGGUAAAAGGAGCGAUCCGGCAGAGGAGGGACUCGCGUCCUAUCAGCUAGUAGGUGGGGUAACGGCUCACCUAGGCGAAGACGGGUAGCCGGCCUGAGAGGGCGAACGGCCACACUGGAACUGAGAUACGGUCCAGACUCCUACGGGAGGCAGCAGUGGGGAAUAUUGGGCAAUGGGGGCAACCCUGACCCAGCGACGCCGCGUGGGUGAAGAAAUCCUUCGGGAUGUAAAGCCCCGUUGUAUGGGAAGAGCAGAAGACGGUACCAUACGAGGAAGCCCCGGCAAACUACGUGCCAGCCGCCGCUGUAA